RNAcentral lists this long non-coding RNA (440 nucleotides) under Coturnix japonica (Japanese quail). RNAcentral describes it as "lncRNA (ENSCJPG00005009537.1)". The record is from RNAcentral. Lineage: Eukaryota; Metazoa; Chordata; Aves; Galliformes; Phasianidae.
GGCUGAAUAACAGUUCGGAACAAUAAUUCUUUGCUUUCCUCCUUUAUUACAGGUCCCACUGACAAGUUAGCCUGGAGUGCCCUUUCAGGUUUCCACCCCGAGUCGUUGGCCCCAUCCUGUUCACACAGAUUAAGAGGAAGGAAAAAAAGCAUCCCAAGAAAAUGAAAGAGCCGUUCUGUUUCUUACACAUCUGUAGCUUAUUAAGGAGACCAUCAUAACUGAAGACACUCUGACCAAGCAACUUCAGGUUUCCUCUGGUAAAUCAUGAAUAUCCAGUGGUAUCAGAGACUAACAGGAUGGCAUUAAUCACCAGCAAACUGGCAGCAGUGGUGGUAGCCAGCAUGGUGUGAAGUGUGUUAUUUGCUGCAAACACCCUUGGAGGACUGAGAAAUUGCCUAAGAAGCCUAAGUCAUUUGAAGAGAUUGUGGCAUGUUAGAACU